Molecule: transfer RNA, 74 nt
Filed under: Rhodomela confervoides
Lineage: Eukaryota; Rhodophyta; Florideophyceae; Ceramiales; Rhodomelaceae
Description: tRNA-Val
Rfam family: tRNA
About the family: Transfer RNA (tRNA) molecules are approximately 80 nucleotides in length. Their secondary structure includes four short double-helical elements and three loops (D, anti-codon, and T loops).
Source: RNAcentral
GGAUACAUAGCUCAGAUGGCAAGAGUAUCACGUUGACAUCGUGAGGGUCGCUGGUUCAAGUCCAGUUGUAUCCA